Molecule: ribosomal RNA, 430 nt
Filed under: uncultured bacterium
Lineage: Bacteria
Description: partial 16S ribosomal RNA
Rfam family: Bacterial small subunit ribosomal RNA
Source: RNAcentral
CCUACGGGUGGCAGCAGUGGGGAAUAUUGGACAAUGGGCGCAAGCCUGAUCCAGCAAUGCCGCGUGUGUGAAGAAGGCCUUCGGGUUGUAAAGCACUUUAAGUUGGGAAGCGGUACCGACAGAAUAAGCACCGGCUAACUCUGUGCCAGCAGCCGCGGUAAUACAGAGGGUGCAAGCGUUAAUCGGAUUUACUGGGCGUAAAGCGUGCGUAGGCGGUUUGCUAAGUCGGUUGUGAAAGCCCUGGGCUUAACCUGGGAAUUGCAUCGAUACUGGCAGGCUAGAGAACGGUAGAGGGAGGCGGAACUCCAGGUGUAGCGGUGAAAUGCGUAGAUAUCUGGAAGAACACCGAUGGCGAAGGCAACCUCCUGGGCCUGUUGACGCUGAGGCACGAAAGCGUGGGUAGCAAACAGGAUUAGAUACCCUUGUAGUC